AAAAAAUAAAAUACUAUUAAGUGGAGAAAAAUAUAAAACUGCUUGGUAGGAGAUGAGGAAGGGAAGUCAACUGCUUAGCUUGUAUCCUUAUUUUCAUGACUGCCUUAAUUCAGGGAUUUUUCCCAUUUCCCUACUGGGUUCAGGUUCUCUCUGGACAAGGACACAGGCCUUAUCACACUCAUUGCCAAAUUGGACUAUGAGCUGAUCCAACGCUUCACACUGACCGUGAUUGCCCGCGAUGGGGGCGGUGAGGAGACGACGGGGAGGGUCCGAGUCAAUGUGUUGGACGUCAAUGACAAUGUCCCCACCUUCCAGAAGGAUGCCUAUGUGGGGGCUUUAAGAGAGAAUGAGCCUUCGGUGACCCAGCUGGUGCGGCUGCGGGCAACUGAUGAAGACUCUCCUCCCAACAAUCAAAUCACCUACAGCAUCGUGAAUGCGUCUGCGUUUGGCAGCUACUUUGACAUCAGCGUCUAUGAGGGCUAUGCAGUGAUUAGUGUCAACCGUCCCCUGGAUUAUGAGCAGAUCCCCAACGGAAUGAUUUACUUGACUGUCAUGGCUAAGGAUGCUGGCAAUCCACCUCUCAACAGCACUGUCCCUGUCACCAUUGAGGUGUUUGAUGAAAAUGACAAUCCCCCCACCUUCAGCAAGCCCUCCUACUCUGUCACCGUUGUGGAGAACAUCAUGGCAGGU
This is a long non-coding RNA of Antechinus flavipes (yellow-footed antechinus), 690 nucleotides long. RefSeq lists it as uncharacterized. The transcript is spliced from 4 exons. NCBI's taxonomy places the organism in Eukaryota, Metazoa, Chordata, Mammalia, Dasyuromorphia, Dasyuridae. The record is from RefSeq and is a predicted model, not a curated record.